UCUCCUAUAGCUCAGUUGGUAGAGCGUGCGGCUGUUAACCUCAAAGUCGCUGGUUCAAACCCAGCUGGGAGAG
Molecule: transfer RNA, 73 nt
Organism: Phytophthora infestans T30-4
Lineage: Eukaryota; Oomycota; Peronosporomycetes; Peronosporales; Peronosporaceae
Rfam family: tRNA
About the family: Transfer RNA (tRNA) molecules are approximately 80 nucleotides in length. Their secondary structure includes four short double-helical elements and three loops (D, anti-codon, and T loops).
Source: Rfam